UUAGAAUAGUCUUUAAAAAUU
This 21-nucleotide non-coding RNA is filed under the name Caenorhabditis elegans. Lineage: Eukaryota; Metazoa; Nematoda; Chromadorea; Rhabditida; Rhabditidae. The record is from RNAcentral.